GGAAGACAUUGGAGGAGCGAAGGGGGAACUAACUCACCUGAAAUGACCACUAGGAAGGGGAGGAUGGACGUGACAGGAAGACAUUGGAGGAGCGAAGGGGGAACUAACUCACCUGAAAUGACCACUAGGAAGGGGAGGAUGGACGUGACAGGAAGACAUUGGAGGAGCGAAGGGGGAACUAACUCACCUGAAAUGACCACGAGGAAGGGGAGGAUGGAGGUGACAGGAAGACAUUGGAGGAGCGAAGGGGGAACUAACUCACCUGAAAUGACCACUAGGAAGGGGAGGAUGGACGUAACAG
Non-coding RNA from Oncorhynchus mykiss (rainbow trout), 301 nucleotides. The record is from RefSeq and is a predicted model, not a curated record. NCBI's taxonomy places the organism in Eukaryota, Metazoa, Chordata, Actinopteri, Salmoniformes, Salmonidae.